This 253-nucleotide ribosomal RNA is filed under the name uncultured bacterium. Its description in RNAcentral is "partial 16S ribosomal RNA". It matches the Rfam family "Bacterial small subunit ribosomal RNA", at positions 524 to 776 of the family's 1533-position model. The record is from RNAcentral.
UACGGAGGGUGCAAGCGUUGUUCGGAAUGAUUGGGCGUAAAGCGCGUGUAGGCGGGAAGAAAGGUCAGGUGUGAAAGCCCUUGGCUUAACCAAGGAAUAGCAUCUGAAACCAUCUUUCUUGAGUACGAUAUGGGAGGGCGGAAUUCCCAGUGUAGAGGUGAAAUUCAUAGAUAUUGGGAGGAACACCGGUGGCGAAGGCGACCCUCUGGAUCGAUACUGACGCUGAGACGCGAAGGCGUGGGUAGCAAACAGG